This 829-nucleotide ribosomal RNA is filed under the name Levilactobacillus brevis. RNAcentral's name for it is "bacterial SSU rRNA". It matches the Rfam family "Bacterial small subunit ribosomal RNA", at positions 65 to 862 of the family's 1533-position model. Lineage: Bacteria; Bacillati; Bacillota; Bacilli; Lactobacillales; Lactobacillaceae. The record is from RNAcentral.
AGCUUCCGUUGANUGACGUGCUUGCACUGAUUUCAACAAUGAAGCGAGUGGCGAACUGGAGAGUAACACGUGGGAAAUCUGCCCAGAAGCAGGGGAUAACACUUGGAAACAGGUGCUAAUACCGUAUAACAACAAAAUCCGCAUGGAUUUUGUUUGAAAGGUGGCUUCGGCUAUCACUUCUGGAUGAUCCCGCGGCGUAUUAGUUAGUUGGUGAGGUAAAGGCCCACCAAGACGAUGAUACGUANCCGACCUGAGAGGGUAAUCGGCCACAUUGGGACUGAGACACGGCCCAAACUCCUACGGGAGGCAGCAGUAGGGAAUCUUCCACAAUGGACGAAAGUCUGAUGGAGCAAUGCCGCGUGAGUGAAGAAGGGUUUCGGCUCGUAAAACUCUGUUGUUAAAGAANAACACCUUUGAGAGUAACUGUUCAAGGGUUGACGGUAUUUAACCAGAAAGCCACGGCUAACUACGUGCCAGCAGCCGCGGUAAUACGUAGGUGGCAAGCGUUGUCCGGAUUUAUUGGGCGUAAAGCGAGCGCAGGCGGUUUUUUAAGUCUGAUGUGAAAGCCUUCGGCUUAACCGGAGAAGUGCAUCGGAAACUGGGAGACUUGAGUGCAGAAGAGGACAGUGGAACUCCAUGUGUAGCGGUGGAAUGCGUAGAUAUAUGGAAGAACACCAGUGGCGAAGGCGGCUGUCUAGUCUGUAACUGACGCUGANGCUCGAAAGCAUGGGUAGCGAACAGGAUUAGAUACCCNGGNANNCCAUGCCGUAAACGAUGAGUGCUAAGUGUUGNAGGGUUUCCGCCCUUCAGUGCUGCAGCUAACGCAUUA